Paramuricea clavata is the source of this 1272-nucleotide non-coding RNA. Lineage: Eukaryota; Metazoa; Cnidaria; Anthozoa; Malacalcyonacea; Plexauridae. The record is from the annotation of a GenBank genome assembly.
GCCCCCUCCCCCCAUUGGCACCCUCCCAAUGCAAAUUAUUGAUGAUAGAAGAAAAUAUGCAAUUCAACCAGAGGCUCAGGGUGGUGGACCAUGAUGGAAAAAAGUCAGGUGGUUGCAAAAUGAAAAGAAAAUUUUUCAAAUGCUCAAAUGGACAAAAAUACAAUCAAUACUAAAAAAGAGGGAAUUAUUGAUGACAUUUAAAGCACUUAGGGGUAUGGCUCCAGAAUACUUAACACAGAUGUUUCAUGUCUCCGUUAACCAAACCUACCAUCUACGAAAUAAUCAUCAAAAGCUUUACCUACCAAAACCUAAGACGAAUUUUUUAAAACGAAGCUUCUCCUAUAGAGGAGCAGUUUCAUGGAACCAAAUUUUAAUGGAAAAACUUCCAAUUAUGGAAAUACCUGAAACUUCCAUCUGUUCUUUUAAAAGAUUAAUAGAUGGCUUGUGUUUUUGAAUUGGGAGGUCAUCCUGCCAAACCAUAUCAAAGCAUUAUGCUUUGCCGAUGUAAAUAGAGUAUAUUAUGCAUGAUUGUUUAUUUUUUGGUUUUUUUUUUUAGUUAAUAAUUUUAAUAUUCUUAUAAUAUUUUAUAGUAAGUGUGCACGGCCCUUUGAAAAACAGGCUUCUGAAAGGCUACCGUGAAUAAAUAAGCUUAAAUAAUAAUAAUAAUAAUAAAAUAAAAUGACAGUGAUUUAUUGAGGAAACUAGUAGUUAGUGACAAAGAGCCGCUGUUUCAUCUGGAAGUAUGGAUUUUUUAAAGAGAUGUUUGAGUCCCUCAAUGAAACAGCAGCAGUUUGAAAUGCAGGGAUGUCAAUUUGAUGUUUCCAGGCCUUUCGGCUGAAGUUACUCCAGAUGUUUGGAGAUACUCAGUCACUCCAAACAAUGGGCCUUCGCUCAAAACAUCAAAAUUCUCCUUACAUUUUUCAGGUAGUUGCACACUUCCUACACUGGCACAGACAGUUCAAAAAAUAACUGCAUGUAUUACUUUAUUAACUUAUAGAAUUUACAACACACAAUUUGAGAAGCAGGGUACUUGACAUUACAUAACGAUUUAUACACACCAUUCUUAACAUGAAUUAUUGACAGAAUAAAGCUUUGGAGUGUCUUUCUGAGAUUAGCAAGAACUACACCCAGUACGUUUCUGGAGUCUUUAAAGACACAAUGUAUUGAGGUUAUGGUAUAAUUAGAAAUGGAUAGAAUGGAUUACUGUAUUUCUUGAAAAAUUAGCAGAUAUGUUAACAGCAGGGGCAACUGCCCCCCCAGAUAAAAUUUAAC